Molecule: ribosomal RNA, 253 nt
Filed under: uncultured bacterium
Lineage: Bacteria
Description: partial 16S ribosomal RNA
Rfam family: Bacterial small subunit ribosomal RNA
Source: RNAcentral
UACGUAGGGGGCUAGCGUUGUCCGGAAUCAUUGGGCGUAAAGCGCGUGUAGGCGGUCCGGUAAGUCCGCUGUGAAAGUCGAGGGCUCAACCCUCGAAUGCCGGUGGAUACUGUCGGGCUUGAGUACGGGAGAGGAGAGUGGAAUUCCUGGUGUAGCGGUGAAAUGCGCAGAUAUCAGGAAGAACACCCGUGGCUAAGGCGGCUCUCUAGUACGGUACUGACGCUGAGACGCGAAAGCGUGGGGAGCAAACAGG